This 500-nucleotide long non-coding RNA is filed under the name Homo sapiens (human). Its description in RNAcentral is "non-protein coding lnc-SPRR1A-2:1". The record is from RNAcentral. Lineage: Eukaryota; Metazoa; Chordata; Mammalia; Primates; Hominidae.
ACCAGAUCCCAGAGGCUGAACACCUCGACCUUCUCUGCACAGCAGAUUACAGGUGUGGAACUUAGGAUCAGAAAAGGGGAGUGAUUUCUGUAAAGGCUUGCUAAGUUAGCAAGACAAUAUACCCACUUCAAGAGCACUCUCCUGUCAACAUGUAUUGAAAAUUUUUAAUAUAGAAGGCACUACAUUGGCAAUUUUGAUGAUCAAAAGAUAAGUUUUUCUUUAUUGCAUGAAUGUAUAAUCCAUUAGAAAACAUAUACUUGACUAAAAUUUGCAAACAUACAGCAUGGGGAGUGAUUAGCAGAGAGGGAAAGCAAGUAUCAUGCUGUGGCAAAACGAGGAAGGUGAGAGCAUCAGGAAGGACAGCCAUGAGAGGUGGGCAUGUGUGGGGAGGCAGCGAUGAUGUGGAGAGCCUGCCAGAGAGCAUGUGCAGCAGGCACAGUGUGAACAGAGGCUCCCAGGUGGAUUGUGGGAGCCUUAGGGGGAAGUUUAGAUAAGAGUUC